UGCAUCAGGUGAUGAAAUUGGAAAAAUCUUAGGACACCUUCCAACACGGCAGUAUUGCCGUGGAUGAGAAAAAAAAUUCCAUGCUGAUGAUGUA
Molecule: small nucleolar RNA, 94 nt
Organism: Prosopis cineraria
Lineage: Eukaryota; Viridiplantae; Streptophyta; Magnoliopsida; Fabales; Fabaceae
Product: small nucleolar RNA snoR31/Z110/Z27
Exons: 1
Source: RefSeq, a predicted model, not a curated record